CGAGCGCGGGAAGCAAGCUGAUCCUCUUCGGAGGUGACGCUUGUGGAACGAGCGGCGGACGGGUGAGUAACACGUGGGCAACCUGCCUGUAAGACUGGGAUAACCCCGGGAAACCGGGGCUAAUACCGGAUAAUACUUUUCAUCACCUGAUGGAAAGUUGAAAGGUGGCUUUUAGCUACCACUUACAGAUGGGCCCGCGGCGCAUUAGCUAGUUGGUGAGGUAACGGCUCACCAAGGCAACGAUGCGUAGCCGACCUGAGAGGGUGAUCGGCCACACUGGGACUGAGACACGGCCCAGACUCCUACGGGAGGCAGCAGUAGGGAAUCUUCCGCAAUGGACGAAAGUCUGACGGAGCAACGCCGCGUGAGUGAUGAAGGUUUUCGGAUCGUAAAGCUCUGUUGUUAGGGAAGAACAAGUGCCGUUCGAAUAGGGCGGCACCUUGACGGUACCUAACCAGAAAGCCCCGGCUAACUACGUGCCAGCAGCCGCGGUAAUACGUAGGGGGCAAGCGUUGUCCGGAAUUAUUGGGCGUAAAGCGCGCGCAGGCGGUCCUUUAAGUCUGAUGUGAAAGCCCACGGCUCAACCGUGGAGGGUCAUUGGAAACUGGAGGACUUGAGUACAGAAGAGGAGAGUGGAAUUCCACGUGUAGCGGUGAAAUGCGUAGAGAUGUGGAGGAACACCAGUGGCGAAGGCGACUCUCUGGUCUGUAACUGACGCUGAGGCGCGAAAGCGUGGGGAGCGAACAGGAUUAGAUACCCUGGUAGUCCACGCCGUAAACGAUGAGUGCU
RNAcentral lists this ribosomal RNA (789 nucleotides) under Virgibacillus sp. AU703. RNAcentral's name for it is "bacterial SSU rRNA". It matches the Rfam family "Bacterial small subunit ribosomal RNA", at positions 43 to 817 of the family's 1533-position model. The record is from RNAcentral. Lineage: Bacteria; Bacillati; Bacillota; Bacilli; Caryophanales; Bacillaceae.